Long non-coding RNA from Condylura cristata (star-nosed mole), 944 nucleotides. RefSeq lists it as uncharacterized. The record is from RefSeq and is a predicted model, not a curated record. Lineage: Eukaryota; Metazoa; Chordata; Mammalia; Eulipotyphla; Talpidae. The transcript has 3 exons.
GGCAAGGCCUGGCUACAGUCCCUUGCUGGGAGUGGGGUGGGCUGCGCUCUGUAGCCCACCCCACCUGGCUAGUCAGAGGGCUCUGAAGUGGACUUGCAGCAGAUUUCUUCGGCAGAUCGUGUGGGAACCAGAGGAGCUUGACACGUGUGGGUGCACCUCUUACCUGGCAGCUGAGUCCCUCCAAAUGGCAUCUGCCAGCCACCACUUCCAGGGGUCCUGGACCCAAGCAGGGGAAGAAAGCCACGUGCCCACUGUCCGGCCAGGCCUGGCUCAGGGCCCCUGCUGGGCUGGUGUCCCUUGUCUCACCCCGGGUUUUCCUGGCUGCUCAUCCUCCCUUGAGAGAUGGCCUGAUGGUCCAAGAAAAGUUGAAGACAGCAGAGUCCUACCUCCCUCUCACCCAGUGUCCUGCAUCUUGUGGAAACCAAGGAAUUGACUCAUGAACAUCCCUGUUAAUGGGGCCCCGGGUUUAUUCCAAUUACCAGUUUUUUUCACCAAAACCAUUUCCUGUUCCCAACCCCACGUGGCCUUUAGUCAUCGGCUUUUUUAGUCUCUUCGGAUCGACACUUCAUUCUCCUCUGGUUUUUCCUGAUGUUGACUGUUUUGAGGACGGGUCUGGUGGUUUGCAAAAUGUCUCUUCAUAGGCCUUGUUAGUCUCAUAGACUGGGGUUGUGGGUCACACACACACGCUGGGACACCCUGUCCAUACCCCUGCGGGGUCCUUGCCGCCCACGUAACAGCUGAAGUUCUCUCGAGGUUGACUCAGCCUGGCGGAGGUUGCGUCCCCCCAUCUGCUUAGAGCUCCCCUUUCUCUGCUUUGUAUUGAGUCCUGCCCACACUUGGCAGGGGGCAUUUACUUUAAAAAUAAUUUUUCAUCCAGAAAAAGGUAAAAGGACAAAUGCCCGCAGUGGCACACAGAACAUAGAUACCUACUGACAUUCAAAGAA